Molecule: long non-coding RNA, 252 nt
Filed under: Gossypium barbadense (sea-island cotton)
Lineage: Eukaryota; Viridiplantae; Streptophyta; Magnoliopsida; Malvales; Malvaceae
Description: long non-coding RNA (GBAR_LNC000794)
Source: RNAcentral
CGCAAACAACUCCGCUUAAUUAUGACAAAUGUCCUCUUAGACAGGUCUAUUCCUCCUCUGAAUAAGAGCUUAUCUUGAAUCAGUAUCCUAGGAUAUCAAAACAAGAAUUAAGAACACAUAAUUAAGAAUAAGUUAAAUAUUUAUCAUACAAUUCAGAAAAUAAUAACAAGAUUCAUCUUAGGUUUCAUUCCCCUUAGGUAUUUAGGGGUUUUAGUUCUUAACUAAAUAAGAAAACAUCUCAGAAUAAUAAAG